GCCCAGGUGGCGAAAUUGGUAGACGCGCUAGGUUCAGGUCCUAGUGGUGGCAACACCGUGGAGGUUCGAUUCCUCUCUUGGGCA
This is a transfer RNA of Candidatus Accumulibacter, 84 nucleotides long. It matches the Rfam family "tRNA". From Rfam's summary of the family: Transfer RNA (tRNA) molecules are approximately 80 nucleotides in length. Their secondary structure includes four short double-helical elements and three loops (D, anti-codon, and T loops). The record is from Rfam. Lineage: Bacteria; Pseudomonadati; Pseudomonadota; Betaproteobacteria.